RNAcentral lists this ribosomal RNA (552 nucleotides) under uncultured bacterium. RNAcentral's name for it is "bacterial SSU rRNA". It matches the Rfam family "Bacterial small subunit ribosomal RNA", at positions 56 to 587 of the family's 1533-position model. The record is from RNAcentral.
UGCAGUCGAGCGGAUGNNGAAGAAGCUUGCUUCUUCUGAUUUUAGCGNCNNNNNNGUGAGUAACACGUGGGCAACCUACCUUGUAGAUUGGGAUAACUCCGGGAAACCGGGGCUAAUACCGAAUAAUCCAUUUUGCUUCAUGGCGAAAUGUUAAAAGGCGGCGAUCUCGCUGUCACUGCAAGAUGGGCCCGCGGCGCAUUAGCUAGUUGGUAAGGUAACGGCUUACCAAGGCGACGAUGCGUAGCCGACCUGAGAGGGUGAUCGGCCACACUGGGACUGAGACACGGCCCAGACUCCUACGGGAGGCAGCAGUAGGGAAUCUUCCACAAUGGACGAAAGUCUGAUGGAGCAACGCCGCGUGAGUGAAGAAGGUUUUCGGAUCGUAAAACUCUGUUGUAAGGGAAGAACACGUACGAGAGUAACUGCUCGUACCUUGACGGUACCUUAUUAGAAAGCCACGGCUAACUACGUGCCAGCAGCCGCGGUAAUACGUAGGUGGCAAGCGUUGUCCGGAAUUAUUGGGCGUAAAGCGCGCGCAGGCGGUCCUUUAAG